This is a long non-coding RNA of Drosophila gunungcola (fruit fly), 1479 nucleotides long. RefSeq lists it as uncharacterized. The record is from RefSeq and is a predicted model, not a curated record. The transcript is spliced from 3 exons. Lineage: Eukaryota; Metazoa; Arthropoda; Insecta; Diptera; Drosophilidae.
GUAAAGUCAAUAAGCACUCUUCAAAUAGCACAAAACACUUUAAACUCCUUUUAGCGACUGUGAUUACAGGUCGCGACAAAUGCCAUUUGCAGUGGCGUAAUUUACCAUAUCACUGAGCCAUUAAAACCUAAUGAAUGGUUGGAGUUGGAAAAAUAGAUAGUUUGUAGAUGGGACCGCCUCUAUGGGGAGUGAAUGCACAUCCAUAUCUUUUAACCUGCUCUUUGGUUUCACUUUUAUUCGACUUGCUCGCGAUUCUGCUCGCUUUGCUGUAGGUAUGCAAUUAGUCAAUUAAUUUAAAAAUUUAUUAACCGCCAAAAACCAAUUUGCUCCAGAUCGGCAAAAACACACGAGAAACAAGAGAAACACAAAAGAGCGCGCAGCGAAGAUCGCGAAAUGCCGGCGGUAAACUGGCCUCGAUCUUGGUCAAGAUCACGGCUUCAAAAGCUGCAAGAUCCGUUCGAGGCGUUGGUCAGCGGACAAAUGAAGGGUUUAAAGGUUGCGGAACUUUCAGCGAGUUAGGGAUUUGAAAUCAAAGCCCCGAAAGGAGGAGAUCCCCCUUCGAAAUGUGGAAAUGUAGUGCAGAUAAUUUAUGGGUUCGGCGGCAGCGGAAGUGCGUGUGUAUCUGGGAGAUACGAAUCGCAGCGGCUACCGAUGGUUUUCUAGGUCAAAAAGCAGAGUCCGCGAAAUAAAUGACUUUUGUGCAUGUCGCGGACUGCUUGCCGUCGGCUUGGCUUCAGGCCAUAAAUUUUGGUGUAUUUGAAAAGCGUUUGUUGUCUUUCCCACUCACUCUCUUUGGGACUGGGAUUCUCUCUUUCCACACCCGACUUAUGAUUAAUAACGCUCGUUUGAGUUGAAAACCUGCUUUUGGCGGCCAUUAUGAUCAGCUGAUCGCGCAGACCCGAAAAAAGAAGCAAACGUCAUGACACCGCAAUGUCCGUCGGACAAAUGAAAUGAACCUGAAAGUGAUCACUCAUUGACACAAGUGACUGAUCGACGAUGGAAGCAAGUGCGGUGGUGUGCGUGUUUGAACCCAUUUUGGAAAUGCCAUAUGGCUGGAAAACUACAGUGAUCUUCACCUGAUGCUCAAAGAUCACCGCUUGCUCACCGCACAGGUAUGCGCACUCUCUCUCUUGCUCGGCUGGCUCCCUCUCUCUCUCUCGCUGGCUCCUCUCUUUCGCUCACCUGGUGAUCGAUCAUCUUUUCGCUCAGCCGGUUUUUUUUUAACCACUGCUCUGGGAAUUAAUUUAUGUGCUCUCGCUGGAAUGAAUCUCACCUUUAUUCGAAUUGGAACAUUUCGGGCAACCGCAGACCGUUUACGAUAUUCGCAGCUGUUAAUUGGACUUUGCAAAGGUGAUAUAAUACUUCUGAUCAGACAGCGGUUAGACAGGUUAAGAAGUUUGGUAUACAAGCUAAGAUCAUAUGAGACAUUAGAGGCUCUCAGAUAAGAGAUUUGGUUGGAUUUACCUGUACGGGAUUAAG